UCUCAAUAUAGGCUCAAACCAAGCAGGAAUUGCAGUAACAAGAUGCAUGCAAUUGCAACAAUACAAACCUAAUCUUUUUCACCCAGUUUCAUUGCCUCAAAUAGUCAAAUUGCAGUUUAAAUUCACAGGCAUCUAUGUUAUGGAUACAAAUGUGGAAAGAAUAACACGAUCAUGCCUGGUUGUGAAAUCCUUUGUAUUAUUUUCAAAGCACAAUCAAAAUGAUUUGUGUGCAGGAACCUCAGCUGAAGUCAUCAGCUGAAUUUUCAGUGGAGCAACUCAGGCAGCUUCUCAACUGCUCAAACAUUUUGAGGAGGAUUUUCUUGCAACUUGAUACUGUUGAAAACUAUAUCCUGCAAACUUCGAUACAGGAUGCUAAAUUAAAGUCAUUUCCUUACGAUCCAUAAGUAGAACUUAACUCCAGUGGCUGAGACCACCAAGCUAAAUACCUACAUAUCACCUCUUCGAUUGCCGAGCAACCUAUUAGCAACAGACUCAGAUUUCUAAAGAAUUCUAUUACCAACAUCAUUGUUAUGCUCUUUUUAACUCAUAUAUGCCUCUUUUCUUACUGUUUGUUCCUAAAACGCACUCAGCUUUCAAAUAUAUCUGUCAUGGUUAUAGCUGCACCUUGGCUAUCUGCUGACUUGGUUACUAAGUAAAUGAAAUAAAACUCCCAGUUGUAUGGCUGAAAAUUGUCAUUGGCACUGGCAGCAAAAUCAAGCAGUCAUUAAUCCACAGAUAAAAACAUCAUACAAUAUUUUCAGUUGGCCUUCCAAAGUCACAACUUCCAGAAUGCCUAUUUAAUGUAAUAAUGGCUGCAAUAUCUCUUUGGCCCAUGAAGAUAGAGGUGCACAGAACAUAACAGGCAGACCAGUAACUGGAUGUUCAAAAGACAAGCUCUCUGCAUGCAAUCCAUGGUCAUCAUAUAUUCUCUCUUUCCAUUCAUAUAAACCCUCAUAUUUCACAUCCCCUCUUGUAGACAUUCCAAGAUACUGGCAGCGCAACUGGAUUGAUGUGUUCUCCACUCUGAGGAAAUGCCCAUACCAAAAUCUCAUCCUUCUUCGUAUCAGCAUAUUUCACAGCCUUUUCUUCAACUACUAUAAUAUUUUCAUCUUUCUCAAAUUCAGACAACUCUUUGAAGCUCCCUUGUCCAUUUACUGAUAAUAGUUACUAUGAAUCCACCUGGUAGUGUCCGACCCACAUCUAUUGCAGCAUACGCAUGCCAGACAAUGAUCAGAUUUUAUGGUGAUCCUUCCCCAUUUUGGAGCUGAACCAACACAGAGAGCAAUGUAAGUUUUCUUAAUCUCGUGAUCAGUAAAAUGCCUUUACACACUUAGAAGCCACUUUGCGUGACUUGGUUAUAACUCUAACACUUGUAUCAAGUCAGUUGGCAAGAUGGAGCUCUGGCAGGGUGCCCUUGGUCCCUGAAGUUGAAAAGUCAAAACUCAGUUUAAUAUCCACAAACAAAAAGAAAUACACAGUUAUCAAUAGAAGAACCUGGCUAUAGCAAUUAUUUGGUGAGCCAAUUGAUAGACCUGGCCACAGAUUGGCUCCAGGCAUACAAUGAGUUAAUCUAACCUAAAUUACUUCCAAUCCUGUUCAUCUAGUCAAACAAAUGCAUUCUAUGUGCUCUCCCACCAAACCAUAAUACUUAUCUCUCUCGUACAAAAGAUCCUUGCAUACACAAACAUCCAUGCUCAAAACACAAUAAUUUAUCUAUGCUAAUAUUUUACAGUUUGCCAUUAAUUGAAUUCAGAGAGAGGUUCAAAUACAACUCACUAGGAAAUACAUAACUUAUCGGAAAGGUUAGCAAAAUUAGUAGAAGAAAUUCUAUUCUUGCCAUAAAAUUGCUUCUCUGGUAAAUGAUUAAACUUUAAUGGAAAGCAAAUUUCACAAAAUCCCAAGUGAUCAAAUUAGCUAUACAUGAUAUCUGUUAGGAUCUACUGCAAGAAAAACUUGUAUACCACAUCGAAAGUAUGGGUUUUCAAUGUGGGGUAUGUAUGAACUUGGGCUCUCCCACCUCAA
This 2022-nucleotide unclassified non-coding RNA is filed under the name Hevea brasiliensis (rubber tree). The record is from RNAcentral. Lineage: Eukaryota; Viridiplantae; Streptophyta; Magnoliopsida; Malpighiales; Euphorbiaceae.